GGGUUGUGAGGUUAAGCGACUAAGCGUACACGGUGGAUGCCCUGGCAGUCAGAGGCGAUGAAGGACGUGCUAAUCUGCGAUAAGCGUCGGUAAGGUGAUAUGAACCGUUAUAACCGGCGAUUUCCGAAUGGGGAAACCCAGUGUGAUUCGUCACACUAUCAUUAACUGAAUCCAUAGGUUAAUGAGGCGAACCGGGGGAACUGAAACAUCUAAGUACCCCGAGGAAAAGAAAUCAACCGAGAUUCCCCCAGUAGCGGCGAGCGAACGGGGAGCAGCCCAGAGCCUGAAUCAGUGUGUGUGUUAGUGGAAGCGUCUGGAAAGGCGCGCGAUACAGGGUGACAGCCCCGUACACAAAAAUGCACAUGCUGUGAGCUCGAUGAGUAGGGCGGGACACGUGGUAUCCUGUCUGAAUAUGGGGGGACCAUCCUCCAAGGCUAAAUACUCCUGACUGACCGAUAGUGAACCAGUACCGUGAGGGAAAGGCGAAAAGAACCCCGGCGAGGGGAGUGAAAAAGAACCUGAAACCGUGUACGUACAAGCAGUGGGAGCACGCUUAGGCGUGUGACUGCGUACCUUUUGUAUAAUGGGUCAGCGACUUAUAUUCUGUAGCAAGGUUAACCGAAUAGGGGAGCCGAAGGGAAACCGAGUCUUAACUGGGCGUUAAGUUGCAGGGUAUAGACCCGAAACCCGGUGAUCUAGCCAUGGGCAGGUUGAAGGUUGGGUAACACUAACUGGAGGACCGAACCGACUAAUGUUGAAAAAUUAGCGGAUGACUUGUGGCUGGGGGUGAAAGGCCAAUCAAACCGGGAGAUAGCUGGUUCUCCCCGAAAGCUAUUUAGGUAGCGCCUCGUGAAUUCAUCUCCGGGGGUAGAGCACUGUUUCGGCAAGGGGGUCAUCCCGACUUACCAACCCGAUGCAAACUGCGAAUACCGGAGAAUGUUAUCACGGGAGACACACGGCGGGUGCUAACGUCCGUCGUGAAGAGGGAAACAACCCAGACCGCCAGCUAAGGUCCCAAAGUCAUGGUUAAGUGGGAAACGAUGUGGGAAGGCCCAGACAGCCAGGAUGUUGGCUUAGAAGCAGCCAUCAUUUAAAGAAAGCGUAAUAGCUCACUGGUCGAGUCGGCCUGCGCGGAAGAUGUAACGGGGCUAAACCAUGCACCGAAGCUGCGGCAGCGACGCUUAUGCGUUGUUGGGUAGGGGAGCGUUCUGUAAGCCUGUGAAGGUGUACUGUGAGGUAUGCUGGAGGUAUCAGAAGUGCGAAUGCUGACAUAAGUAACGAUAAAGCGGGUGAAAAGCCCGCUCGCCGGAAGACCAAGGGUUCCUGUCCAACGUUAAUCGGGGCAGGGUGAGUCGACCCCUAAGGCGAGGCCGAAAGGCGUAGUCGAUGGGAAACAGGUUAAUAUUCCUGUACUUGGUGUUACUGCGAAGGGGGGACGGAGAAGGCUAUGUUGGCCGGGCGACGGUUGUCCCGGUUUAAGCGUGUAGGCUGGUUUUCCAGGCAAAUCCGGAAAAUCAAGGCUGAGGCGUGAUGACGAGGCACUACGGUGCUGAAGCAACAAAUGCCCUGCUUCCAGGAAAAGCCUCUAAGCAUCAGGUAACAUCAAAUCGUACCCCAAACCGACACAGGUGGUCAGGUAGAGAAUACCAAGGCGCUUGAGAGAACUCGGGUGAAGGAACUAGGCAAAAUGGUGCCGUAACUUCGGGAGAAGGCACGCUGAUAUGUAGGUGAAGUCCCUCGCGGAUGGAGCUGAAAUCAGUCGAAGAUACCAGCUGGCUGCAACUGUUUAUUAAAAACACAGCACUGUGCAAACACGAAAGUGGACGUAUACGGUGUGACGCCUGCCCGGUGCCGGAAGGUUAAUUGAUGGGGUUAGCGGUAACGCGAAGCUCUUGAUCGAAGCCCCGGUAAACGGCGGCCGUAACUAUAACGGUCCUAAGGUAGCGAAAUUCCUUGUCGGGUAAGUUCCGACCUGCACGAAUGGCGUAAUGAUGGCCAGGCUGUCUCCACCCGAGACUCAGUGAAAUUGAACUCGCUGUGAAGAUGCAGUGUACCCGCGGCAAGACGGAAAGACCCCGUGAACCUUUACUAUAGCUUGACACUGAACAUUGAGCCUUGAUGUGUAGGAUAGGUGGGAGGCUUUGAAGUGUGGACGCCAGUCUGCAUGGAGCCGACCUUGAAAUACCACCCUUUAAUGUUUGAUGUUCUAACGUUGACCCGUAAUCCGGGUUGCGGACAGUGUCUGGUGGGUAGUUUGACUGGGGCGGUCUCCUCCUAAAGAGUAACGGAGGAGCACGAAGGUUGGCUAAUCCUGGUCGGACAUCAGGAGGUUAGUGCAAUGGCAUAAGCCAGCUUGACUGCGAGCGUGACGGCGCGAGCAGGUGCGAAAGCAGGUCAUAGUGAUCCGGUGGUUCUGAAUGGAAGGGCCAUCGCUCAACGGAUAAAAGGUACUCCGGGGAUAACAGGCUGAUACCGCCCAAGAGUUCAUAUCGACGGCGGUGUUUGGCACCUCGAUGUCGGCUCAUCACAUCCUGGGGCUGAAGUAGGUCCCAAGGGUAUGGCUGUUCGCCAUUUAAAGUGGUACGCGAGCUGGGUUUAGAACGUCGUGAGACAGUUCGGUCCCUAUCUGCCGUGGGCGCUGGAGAACUGAGGGGGGCUGCUCCUAGUACGAGAGGACCGGAGUGGACGCAUCACUGGUGUUCGGGUUGUCAUGCCAAUGGCACUGCCCGGUAGCUAAAUGCGGAAGAGAUAAGUGCUGAAAGCAUCUAAGCACGAAACUUGCCCCGAGAUGAGUUCUCCCUGACUCCUUGAGAGUCCUGAAGGAACGUUGAAGACGACGACGUUGAUAGGCCGGGUGUGUAAGCGCAGCGAUGCGUUGAGCUAACCGGUACUAAUGAACCGUGAGGCUUAACCUUACAACGCCGAAG
RNAcentral lists this ribosomal RNA (2927 nucleotides) under Escherichia coli. Its description in RNAcentral is "23S ribosomal RNA". It matches the Rfam family "Bacterial large subunit ribosomal RNA". The record is from RNAcentral. Lineage: Bacteria; Pseudomonadati; Pseudomonadota; Gammaproteobacteria; Enterobacterales; Enterobacteriaceae.